RNAcentral lists this ribosomal RNA (468 nucleotides) under uncultured bacterium. RNAcentral describes it as "partial 16S ribosomal RNA". It matches the Rfam family "Bacterial small subunit ribosomal RNA", at positions 28 to 507 of the family's 1533-position model. The record is from RNAcentral.
GACGAACGCUGGCGGCGUGCUUAACACAUGCAAGUCGAACGGAAAGGCCCUGCUUUCGUGGGACGCUCGUGUGGCAAACGGGUGAGUCACAUGGGAGUUCUCUGCUGUUGACCUUGGGAUACCUUCAGGACACUGUGGCAUAUACCGGAUAGGAGCUCCUGCUGCAUGGUGGGGGUAGGAUUGUUUCGUCGGUUGGGGACGGACUCGCGGCUAAUCAGCUUGUUGGUGGGGGAGUGGCUUACCAAGGCUUUGACGGGUAGCCGGCCUGAGUGGGUGACCGGCAACUUGGGGACUAGAAUAGGGCCCGAACUCCUACGGGGGCCAGCAGUGGGGAAUAUUGCACAAUGGGCGGAGGCCGAAUGCAGCAACGCCGCUGGCGGGAUAACGGCCUUCGGGUGGUAAACCGCUUUCGCCUGGGACAAAGCGUGUGUGACGGUAAUGAGUUAAGAAGCACCGGCUAACUACGUG